GUACUGAUGAAGAGUCCUAAAAUAUGACGAAACAGUUGUCCAGUAC
This 46-nucleotide non-coding RNA is filed under the name Trichobilharzia regenti. Lineage: Eukaryota; Metazoa; Platyhelminthes; Trematoda; Strigeidida; Schistosomatidae. The record is from RNAcentral.